This 2905-nucleotide ribosomal RNA is filed under the name Campylobacter coli. RNAcentral's name for it is "bacterial LSU rRNA". It matches the Rfam family "Bacterial large subunit ribosomal RNA". The record is from RNAcentral. Lineage: Bacteria; Pseudomonadati; Campylobacterota; Epsilonproteobacteria; Campylobacterales; Campylobacteraceae.
GUAAGCUACUAAGAGCGAAUGGUGGAUGCCUUGACUGGUAAAGGCGAUGAAGGACGUACUAGACUGCGAUAAGCUACGGGGAGCUGUCAAGAAGCUUUGAUCCGUAGAUUUCCGAAUGGGGCAACCCAAUGUAUAGAGAUAUACAUUACCUAUAUAGGAGCGAACGAGGGGAAUUGAAACAUCUUAGUACCCUCAGGAAAAGAAAUCAAUAGAGAUUGCGUCAGUAGCGGCGAGCGAAAGCGCAAGAGGGCAAACCCAGUGCUUGCACUGGGGGUUGUAGGACUGCAAUGUGCAAGAGGUGAGUUUAGCAGAACAUUCUGGAAAGUAUAGCCAUAGAGGGUGAUAGUCCCGUAUGCGAAAAACAAACCUUAGCUAGCAGUAUCCUGAGUAGGGCGGGACACGAGAAAUCCUGUCUGAAGCUGGGUCGACCACGAUCCAACCCUAAAUACUAAUACCAGAUCGAUAGUGCACAAGUACCGUGAGGGAAAGGUGAAAAGAACUGAGGUGAUCAGAGUGAAAUAGAACCUGAAACCAUUUGCUUACAAUCAUUCAGAGCACUAUGUAGCAAUACAGUGUGAUGGACUGCCUUUUGCAUAAUGAGCCUGCGAGUUGUGGUGUCUGGCAAGGUUAAGCAAACGCGAAGCCGUAGCGAAAGCGAGUCUGAAUAGGGCGCUUAGUCAGAUGCUGCAGACCCGAAACGAAGUGAUCUAUCCAUGAGCAAGUUGAAGCUAGUGUAAGAACUAGUGGAGGACUGAACCCAUAGGCGUUGAAAAGCCCCGGGAUGACUUGUGGAUAGGGGUGAAAGGCCAAUCAAACUUCGUGAUAGCUGGUUCUCUCCGAAAUAUAUUUAGGUAUAGCGUUGUGUCGUAAUAUAAGGGGGUAGAGCACUGAAUGGGCUAGGGCAUACACCAAUGUACCAAACCCUAUCAAACUCCGAAUACCUUAUAUGUAAUCACAGCAGUCAGGCGGCGAGUGAUAAAAUCCGUCGUCAAGAGGGAAACAACCCAGACUACCAGCUAAGGUCCCUAAAUCUUACUUAAGUGGAAAACGAUGUGAAGUUACUUAAACAACCAGGAGGUUGGCUUAGAAGCAGCCAUCCUUUAAAGAAAGCGUAAUAGCUCACUGGUCUAGUGAUUUUGCGCGGAAAAUAUAACGGGGCUAAAGUAAGUACCGAAGCUGUAGACUUGAUUUUAUCAAGUGGUAGGAGAGCGUUCUAUUUGCGCCGAAGGUAUACCGGUAAGGAGUGCUGGAGCGAAUAGAAGUGAGCAUGCAGGCAUGAGUAGCGAUAAUUAAUGUGAGAAUCAUUAACGCCGUAAACCCAAGGUUUCCUACGCGAUGCUCGUCAUCGUAGGGUUAGUCGGGUCCUAAGUCGAGUCCGAAAGGGGUAGACGAUGGCAAAUUGGUUAAUAUUCCAAUACCAACAUUAGUGUGCGAUGGAAGGACGCUUAGGGCUAAGGGGGCUAGCGGAUGGAAGUGCUAGUCUAAGGUCGUAGGAGGUUAUACAGGCAAAUCCGUAUAACAUACUCCGAGAACUGAAAGGCUUUUUGAAGUCUUCGGAUGGAUAGAAGAACCCCUGAUGCCGUCGAGCCAAGAAAAGUUUCUAAGUUUAGCUAAUGUUGCCCGUACCGUAAACCGACACAGGUGGGUGGGAUGAGUAUUCUAAGGCGCGUGGAAGAACUCUCUUUAAGGAACUCUGCAAAAUAGCACCGUAUCUUCGGUAUAAGGUGUGGUUCGCUUCGUAUUAGGAUUUACUCCGAAAGCGAAGAAACUUACAACAAAGAGUCCCUCCCGACUGUUUACCAAAAACACAGCACUCUGCUAACUCGUAAGAGGAUGUAUAGGGUGUGACGCCUGCCCGGUGCUCGAAGGUUAAUUGAUGGGGUUAGCAUUAGCGAAGCUCUUGAUCGAAGCCCGAGUAAACGGCGGCCGUAACUAUAACGGUCCUAAGGUAGCGAAAUUCCUUGUCGGUUAAAUACCGACCUGCAUGAAUGGCGUAACGAGAUGGGAGCUGUCUCAAAGAGGGAUCCAGUGAAAUUGUAGUGGAGGUGAAAAUUCCUCCUACCCGCGGCAAGACGGAAAGACCCCGUGGACCUUUACUACAGCUUGACACUGCUAUUUGGAUAAGAAUGUGCAGGAUAGGUGGGAGGCUUUGAGUAUAUGACGCCAGUUGUAUAUGAGCCAUUGUUGAGAUACCACUCUUUCUUAUUUGGGUAGCUAACCAGCUUGAGUUAUCCUCAAGUGGGACAAUGUCUGGUGGGUAGUUUGACUGGGGCGGUCGCCUCCCAAAUAAUAACGGAGGCUUACAAAGGUUGGCUCAGAACGGUUGGAAAUCGUUCGUAGAGUAUAAAGGUAUAAGCCAGCUUAACUGCAAGACAUACAAGUCAAGCAGAGACGAAAGUCGGUCUUAGUGAUCCGGUGGUUCUGUGUGGAAGGGCCAUCGCUCAAAGGAUAAAAGGUACCCCGGGGAUAACAGGCUGAUCUCCCCCAAGAGCUCACAUCGACGGGGAGGUUUGGCACCUCGAUGUCGGCUCAUCGCAUCCUGGGGCUGGAGCAGGUCCCAAGGGUAUGGCUGUUCGCCAUUUAAAGCGGUACGCGAGCUGGGUUCAGAACGUCGUGAGACAGUUCGGUCCCUAUCUGCCGUGGGCGUAAGAAGAUUGAAGAGAUUUGACCCUAGUACGAGAGGACCGGGUUGAACAAACCACUGGUGUAGCUGUUGUUCUGCCAAGAGCAUCGCAGCGUAGCUAAGUUUGGAAAGGAUAAACGCUGAAAGCAUCUAAGCGUGAAGCCAACUCUAAGAUGAAUCUUCUCUAAGCUCUCUAGAAGACUACUAGUUUGAUAGGCUGGGUGUGUAAUGGAUGAAAGUCCUUUAGCUGACCAGUACUAAUAGAGCGUUUGGCUUAUCUUU